GAAGUUCGAAGAGCCGGAGCAGGAUUGUAGUGGGCUGGGGCCCACUGGGCUGAGAUGAGAGUAGCCACAGAACUUCUUUUAUUGCAGUUUCUUGGAUUACAGUAUACUGUGUGUCAGGUUGCAUGUGCCCAAAUAGAUUAACCAACUAAAGAAAAACCUGGUGUGUUUCGUCUAGCCUAUAAGCUCAUUUAUGGAAGGUCAUCCCUUUAUUGAGACCAGCCCAAAAGACCCUGAGGAACUUAGAAGACUCCUGCUGACUUUGAAGAUCAUAGUCCCAAAGCAGGGCCAUGAAAUGGAGCAGCAAAGAAGAGUAUCAUUGUCAAAGCUCAAGUUCCAUCAGAAUGGGAUGUCAGAAAAUAUGAUGCACAUAAAGAAGUCCAGAUCACCCACCAUCCACCCCCUUGGAGACGGCUGCUGUUAACAGUCAUCCACAUCCCAUUCUUUCUAUGCUUACACACUGAAGACAACAGAAAUGAGAGCAUUUUUUUGUAUGCUGCUUUUUAACUAGUUUUCACUUUUAUUUAAACUCUUCAAGAAAUCUUUUAAAAUUUCUUUUUAAAUUCAUCUACUGCUCCAUGCUAUUCCUGUGGGUGAAAAACUGUAACACUCAGCACAAUAAAUUAAUUCUCUGUGAAACUCAUGUUCUCAUGUUACCAGAAAUAUUUUUUGGUCUGAUCU
Long non-coding RNA from Cebus imitator (Panamanian white-faced capuchin), 678 nucleotides. RefSeq lists it as uncharacterized. NCBI's taxonomy places the organism in Eukaryota, Metazoa, Chordata, Mammalia, Primates, Cebidae. The transcript is spliced from 4 exons. The record is from RefSeq and is a predicted model, not a curated record.